AUAUAGGGCUGUUCACAGGGCAAGAUUUGGUCCGGUGCUACGGCGGGGCUGCCCCAGUAGAGCGUUCACACGUGCAAAUUAGCUCCGGCGUAGCCCCGGAAAAAGGCUUACACCGGACCAAAUUUGAUCCACCUCAGGGAGGUGGGUCAAAUAUUUGCUCCGGAGCAAAUGCUCGUUUGCGAAGCAGCACCGGUGUAAAUUUGCACGUGUGAACGCAACUGGGUUAAAUUUGCUCCAGAGCAAAUGC
Long non-coding RNA from Hippocampus zosterae (dwarf seahorse), 247 nucleotides. RefSeq lists it as uncharacterized. The record is from RefSeq and is a predicted model, not a curated record. The transcript is spliced from 2 exons. Lineage: Eukaryota; Metazoa; Chordata; Actinopteri; Syngnathiformes; Syngnathidae.